AGAUCCUCCAAAAAGAAUGAAGAAAGAAUGGAAUUAGAUAAGCUUAGCAGUAGGAACCUUGAAGAUCCACCUAUCUCUGGUGCUUACAUCCGGAGCCUAGUGAAACAACUAAACACAUCAACAACAACAACAAAUGAAUCCAUGAACUCAAAAGGCCAAGAUUGUUUUGUUGCAAGAAAACAUGGAAAGGCACAUCAAUCCACACAACAACAACCACAACAGCAGCAUAAGAAACAAGUUAGGAGGAGACUUCACACUAGCAGGCCUUAUCAAGAGAGGCUUCUGAAUAUGGCUGAGGCUAGGAAGGAGAUUGUAACAGCCUUGAAAUUUCAUAGGGCUGCUAUGAAGCAAGCCAGGGAAAGACAGCAACAACAGCAGCAGCAGCAGCCGCCGCCACCGCAAGUGCAAGAACAGCAUCAGCAAAGUUUUGAACAAGAUGGAAGAUUCAAGGGUAGGAGAAACCCCAGAAUUUAUCCAUCAUGCAGAGCCAAUUUUCCAAAUAAAAUGGAGGAUUUUUCAUGUUCAUACUUAUCUCAACCUCUUCCUCCUCCAUCUACCUUGGCUCCAAACUCUUACACCUGGGCUAAUGCUCCUUCCUUAAUUACUCAACCGCCACAAACCCUUUUGGCUGAAAACCCCAAUUUUGUACUUCCUAGUCAGACUCUUGGAUUGAACCUCAAUUUCCAUGAUUUCAACAACUUAGAUGCUACCCUUCACCUUAACAACUCUUCAUUAUCCUCAUACUCAUCUCCAACCUCCUCUUCUCCUCCUCUUUCUGUUGUGACUGAUCAGGAAGCUCAUUCAGUUGGAAUGUCACAGGGCCAGGGAGAUGGAUCUUCUUCACUGGUGGAUACAAUUCAAUCCGGUGCCACGACUCGGACUAGUGGAAGUGGAGAUCUUCAUACAGCCAUGGAUGAUGAGGGCAUGGCAGAGAUCAGAUCCUUAGGUGAGCAAUAUCAAAUGGAAUGGAGUGAUACCAUGAACUUGGUCAAAUCAGCAUGUUGGUUCAAGUACUUGAGAAACAUAGAACAUGAGGUACCUGGAGUCAAGAUUGGAGAUGGUUCAUACCAUUUUUUUGAUGAAGUUGUUGAGUUUCCAGCUUGGUUGAAUGCAAAUGGGAGCUGUUUAGAGAAGUGCUCUGAUGAGUACUUCCAAGAUUCUGCCUUACCUUGGCCUGGUGGAACACUCACUUUUUGAAGCUUGCCCUGUGGAAAAUAUUUAGAUAAAACAUACGUUUUGACUUUGGUGUACAAAAUCAGAGCAUGGACAUUGGAGAUAUUGAAAGCAUGGAUGGAGAUUGGUUAGCAUGAGAAGGAUUCAUUGUUUUGGUCACAUCAAAAUUUUGCUCUGAUUUUGUAGUUUCUUUUGCUUUAGGUAAAUGGGGUUUUGGGUACUAUUAUUAUCAUUCCCCUCCUCCCCUCUUCUUUUUGGUUUUUUGGAUAUUUUUAUUAUUAUAUAUAUAAGGCUUGAAAAAAUUUAAAAGAGGAUGAUAGCAUCAAUAUUCAAUAGUAUGAGUGAGACAAUUUUUUUUCUCCCAUUACUCUUAUGUCAAUGUAUUUGUUGUAAUAAUGAUUAAUAUCAAUCAGUAGUGCUAAAUUCUCUUUGAAUCUUAAAGAUUGCGAGAAGCCACUAAGGGUUUGGAGCUAUAGAAGACUGGAACUCAGGCUGUUGUUAGUUAUGUGAUUUGAGUGUUUGACAAUGAACACAUGAAAAAUUCUGAUGAGGAAUCUCAAUUUAAAGCUUAAUUAUACAAAAAGCGUAAUUAUUGUCUGGAUUUUUACAAUUUCACCAUAUUUACAAUUUUAUUUUUUAAAGUUUAUACCUAAGUCU
Molecule: RNA transcript, 1830 nt
Organism: Arachis duranensis
Lineage: Eukaryota; Viridiplantae; Streptophyta; Magnoliopsida; Fabales; Fabaceae
Exons: 3
Source: RefSeq, a predicted model, not a curated record